UGAGAGAUGGCUUAGUGGUUAAGAGCACUGGCUGCUCUUCAAGAGGUCCUGAGUUCAAUUCCCAGCAAUCACACAG
RNAcentral lists this transfer RNA (76 nucleotides) under Mus musculus (house mouse). RNAcentral describes it as "tRNA-Ser". Lineage: Eukaryota; Metazoa; Chordata; Mammalia; Rodentia; Muridae. The record is from RNAcentral.